AGAGUUUGAUCAUGGCUCAGGAUGAACGCUGGCGGUGUGCCUAAAACAUGCAAGUCGAGCGGCAGCGAGUUUCUCACUGUUUGCUUCUCAUUUCUCGUUUUAUCGAGGAAGGUACGAGGAGUGAAGAGUGAGAAAUGUCGGCGAGCGGCGGACGGCUGAGUAACGCGUGGGAACGUGCCCCAAAGUGAGGGAUAAGCUCAAGAAAUUGAGUCUAAUACCGCAUACGGUCUUCGGAUCAAAGCAGCAAUGCGCUUUGGGAGCGGCCUGCGUACGAUUAGGUAGUUGGUGAGGUAAAGGCUCACCAAGCCGACGAUCGUUAACUGGUCUGAGAGGAUGAUCAGUCAGACUGGAACUGAGACACGGUCCAGACUCCUACGGGAGGCAGCAGUUAGGAAUCUUCCACAAUGAGCGAAAGCCUGAUGGAGCAACACCGCGUGCUGGAUGAAGGCCUUAGGGUCGUAAACAGCUUUUGUAUACGAAGAAUAUGACGGUAAUAUACGAAUAAGGGUCGGCUAACUACGUGCCAGCAGCCGCGGUCAUACGUAGGACCCAAGCGUUAUCCGGAGUGACUGGGCGUAAAGAGUUGCGUAGGCGGCUUAUUAAGUGGAUAGUGAAAUCUGGUGGCUCAACCAUACAGACUAUUAUCCAAACUGGUAAGCUUGAGAAUGGUAGAGGUAGUUGGAAUUUCUUGUGUAGGAGUGAAAUCCGUAGAUAUAAGAAGGAACACCAAUGGCGUAGGCAGACUACUGGACCAUUUCUGACGCUGAGGCACGAAAGCGUGGGGAGCGAACCGGAUUAGAUACCCUGGUAGUCC
Molecule: ribosomal RNA, 814 nt
Filed under: uncultured bacterium
Lineage: Bacteria
Description: bacterial SSU rRNA
Rfam family: Bacterial small subunit ribosomal RNA
Source: RNAcentral